CCUACGGGGGGCAGCAGUGGGGAAUAUUGGACAAUGGGGGAAACCCUGAUCCAGCGACGCCGCGUGAGUGAAGAAGUAUUUCGGUACGUAAAGCUCUAUCAGCAGGAAAGAAAAUGACGGUACCUGACUACGACGCCCCGGCUAACUACGUGCCAGCAGCCGCGGUAAUACGUAGGGGGCAAGCGUUAUCCGGAUUUACUGGGUGUAAGGGGAGCGUAGACGGCAGCGCAAGUCUGGAGUGAAAUGCCGGGGCCCAACCCCGGAACUGCUCUGGAAACUGUGAAGCUGGAGUGCAGGAGAGGUAAGCGGAAUUCCUGGUGUAGCGGUGAAAUGCGUAGAUAUCAGGAGGAACACCGGCGGCGAAGGCGGCUUACUGGACUGUAACUGACGUUGAGGCUCGAAGGCGUGGGGAGCAAACAGGAUUAGAUACCCCGGUAGUC
RNAcentral lists this ribosomal RNA (440 nucleotides) under uncultured bacterium. Its description in RNAcentral is "partial 16S ribosomal RNA". It matches the Rfam family "Bacterial small subunit ribosomal RNA", at positions 338 to 795 of the family's 1533-position model. The record is from RNAcentral.